UGGGGAAUAUUGGACAAUGGGCGCAAGCCUGAUCCAGCCAUGCCGCGUGAGUGAUGAAGGCCCUAGGGUUGUAAAGCUCUUUCGGCGGGGACGAUAAUGACGGUACCCGCAGAAGAAGCCCCGGCUAACUUCGUGCCAGCAGCCGCGGUAAUACGAAGGGGGCUAGCGUUGUUCGGAAUUACUGGGCGUAAAGCGCACGUAGGCGGAUCGUUUAGUCGGGGGUGAAAUCCCGAGGCUCAACCUCGGAACUGCCUUCGAUACUGGCGAUCUUGAGUCCGAGAGAGGUGAGUGGAACUCCGAGUGUAGAGGUGAAAUUCGUAGAUAUUCGGAAGAACACCAGUGGCGAAGGCGGCUCACUGGCUCGGUACUGACGCUGAGGUGCGAAAGCGUGGGGAGCAAACAGGAUUAGAUACCCCCGUAGUCC
This 424-nucleotide ribosomal RNA is filed under the name uncultured prokaryote. RNAcentral describes it as "bacterial SSU rRNA". It matches the Rfam family "Bacterial small subunit ribosomal RNA", at positions 355 to 796 of the family's 1533-position model. The record is from RNAcentral.